RNAcentral lists this unclassified non-coding RNA (211 nucleotides) under uncultured Sebacina. RNAcentral's name for it is "sequence contains ITS2". Lineage: Eukaryota; Fungi; Basidiomycota; Agaricomycetes; Sebacinales; Sebacinaceae. The record is from RNAcentral.
UAAUCUCACUACCGUCGACUUUGGUCUUUCGGUAUGUGGACUUGGAUGCUGCCGUUGAUGUCGACGGCUCGUCUGAAAUGCCUGAGUGUACCCCGCUUUGCGGCGUAUUCGGUGUGAUACAUCUUCACCGGAGUUGAUCCUCGUGGUCGCGUCUGUAAUGGUGUGGCUCUAUGCUUCCAACCGUCCAUCCAGGUGGACAAUCUCUGACAAU